UACGUAGGGGGCGAGCGUUGUCCGGAUUUAUUGGGCGUAAAGAGCUCGUAGGCGGUUCGAUAAGUCGGAUGUGAAAUCUCCACGCUCAACGUGGAGGGGCCAUUCGAUACUGUCGUGACUCGAGUCCGGUAGGGGAGUGUGGAAUUCCGCGUGUAGCAGUGAAAUGCGUAGAGAUGCGGAGGAACACCGAUGGCGAAGGCAGCCCCCUGGGCUGACACUGACGCUCAGGCACGAAAGCGUGGGGAGCAAACAGG
This 254-nucleotide ribosomal RNA is filed under the name uncultured bacterium. RNAcentral describes it as "partial 16S ribosomal RNA". It matches the Rfam family "Bacterial small subunit ribosomal RNA", at positions 524 to 776 of the family's 1533-position model. The record is from RNAcentral.